Long non-coding RNA from Centruroides sculpturatus (bark scorpion), 311 nucleotides. RefSeq lists it as uncharacterized. The transcript has 2 exons. The record is from RefSeq and is a predicted model, not a curated record. Lineage: Eukaryota; Metazoa; Arthropoda; Arachnida; Scorpiones; Buthidae.
GUAUUAGUUUAUUACAGUUAUCGUAAAUUAUUUUAAUUUUAAUUUUUGUAAAUUUUCCCAACGGUUUUUUGUUUAUCCAACAAUCGAAUCGACAUGCUGCCAUUUUGAGUACGUUAUUUGUACGUCUAUUCUACAUGUAGAAUUGUUUAGUUGAAGCAAACCAGUGAGUAAAUGUACUGACUUCCUCACAACAGGCUCCAAGCUUAUUACAGACUUUAGUUUACAAUUGGAUAAAUACCUACAAGAUACUGUUGGACAGAAUUAAAACAACAAUGGAAAUUUAAUUCAACAAAACAUUCAGGAUUUUUCAG